RNAcentral lists this ribosomal RNA (513 nucleotides) under uncultured bacterium. RNAcentral describes it as "partial 16S ribosomal RNA". It matches the Rfam family "Bacterial small subunit ribosomal RNA", at positions 28 to 523 of the family's 1533-position model. The record is from RNAcentral.
GACGAACGCUGGCGGCGUGCCUAAUACAUGCAAGUUGAGCGCUGAAGGUUGGUACUUGUACCGACUGGAUGAGCAGCGAACGGGUGAGUAACGCGUGGGGAAUCUGCCUUUGAGCGGGGGACAACAUUUGGAAACGAAUGCUAAUACCGCAUAACAACUUUAAACACAAGUUUUAAGUUUGAAAGAUGCAAUUGCAUCACUCAAAGAUGAUCCCGCGUUGUAUUAGCUAGUUGGUGAGGUAAAGGCUCACCAAGGCGAUGAUACAUAGCCGACCUGAGAGGGCGAUCGGCCACAUGGGGACUGAGACACGGCCCAAACUCCUACGGGAGGCAGCAGUAGGGAAUCUUCGGCAAUGGACGAAAGUCUGACCGAGCAACGCCGCGUGAGUGAAGAAGGUUUUCGGAUCGUAAAACUCUGUUGGUAGAGAAGAACGUUGGUGAGAGUGGAAAGCUCAUCAAGUGACGGUAACUACCCAGAAAGGGACGGCUAACUACGUGCCAGCCGCCGCAGUAA